GGGGAAUUGUUCGCAAUGGGCGCAAGCCUGACGACGCAACGCCGCGUGGAGGACGAAGAUCUUCGGGUCGUAAACUCCUUUCGAUCGGGAAGAACGCCUUUGGAGUGAAUAGCUCCGGAGGGUGACGGUACCGGGUGAGGAAGCCCCGGCUAACUCUGUGCCAGCAGCCGCGGUAAUACAGAGGGGGCAAGCGUUGUUCGGAAUUACUGGGCGUAAAGGGCGCGUAGGCGGCCUUCUAAGUCGAACGUGAAAUCCCCGGGCUCAACCCGGGAACUGCGUCCGAUACUGGAAGGCUUGAAUCCGGGAGAGGGAUGCGGAAUUCCAGGUGUAGCGGUGAAAUGCGUAGAUAUCUGGAGGAACACCGGUGGCGAAGGCGGCAUCCUGGACCGGCAUUGACGCUGAGGCGCGAAAGCCAGGGGAGCAAAC
This 426-nucleotide ribosomal RNA is filed under the name uncultured bacterium. RNAcentral's name for it is "bacterial SSU rRNA". It matches the Rfam family "Bacterial small subunit ribosomal RNA", at positions 356 to 773 of the family's 1533-position model. The record is from RNAcentral.